This 18-nucleotide small nuclear RNA is filed under the name Arabidopsis thaliana (thale cress). RNAcentral describes it as "snRNA_03823". Lineage: Eukaryota; Viridiplantae; Streptophyta; Magnoliopsida; Brassicales; Brassicaceae. The record is from RNAcentral.
UCCCUUAGUAACGGCGAG